Long non-coding RNA from Ostrinia nubilalis (European corn borer), 430 nucleotides. RefSeq lists it as uncharacterized. Lineage: Eukaryota; Metazoa; Arthropoda; Insecta; Lepidoptera; Crambidae. The record is from RefSeq and is a predicted model, not a curated record. The transcript is spliced from 3 exons.
UGCCUUUUCGUUUAUUUGAUUUCUGUGAACGAUCUCAAGAAACAAGGAGCUGUUUUCAAAGAGCUUAUUACAAAUCAGUAGCUUUAUUUAAUGAUGUAUAGGUUGCUCAUGAUAUUGUCCGUGUGCAAGGGAUUUGAUGAUUUUCCCGAUUAUUGGUAUUCUAAUGAUGAUGGUAUAGUAGACGAUAUAAAUAUAUAUCCUUACAAAAUUAAUGAGAAUACACUGACCAAAACAUUUGACAGUCGAAAGCCAGACAACACACCGCUACGGGCUGGUAAAAUGGCUGACAGUAAGCAAGUCUUGGACGUAUUGAGGACAGCGUUCAGCAAGUGCGCUGACAAAAACAAACAGUGCGCUGUACAACAAUUGGAACAGGGCAUAGAUUUUCUAAUGAACAGCAUACCGAUACUAGGGAUUAUUACAAAUCUUC